Long non-coding RNA from Labrus mixtus (cuckoo wrasse), 735 nucleotides. RefSeq lists it as uncharacterized. The transcript has 2 exons. The record is from RefSeq and is a predicted model, not a curated record. NCBI's taxonomy places the organism in Eukaryota, Metazoa, Chordata, Actinopteri, Labriformes, Labridae.
GGUGACAGUGAAGUUCUAGUGUAACACGACACUGUUUUGUCCAAUGAGUUUGGAUUGAUGUUUGCACGGGACCACAGUGCAUGCUCAGUAAGGUGUCCCUAAGGUGUCCCUAAGGUGUCCCUAAGGUGCCCUUUUAUGAGCAUUUCUCAUUUAGUUCAUCUUUCCAUUAUACAGCAUCAAAUCACAUUGAAUACAUGACCUUCAGUAAAACUACUGAAAGUCGAGGUUUGACAGUAGUUCUGCUGUAGUUAACAAAUCAAAGAUUAUCUUACAAAGUCCUGCUUCUUAACUCCCACUCUCCUGGUCCAUAAACAAAAAGUCACCAUCUGUGUUCACCUCCACGAAUUAACCAAGAAUAGGUGAAUAGUUUUGAUAGUUGUGUGGACAAAACGAUUACCACUUGUCUUACUCUUCUGUUGUGAAGAGUAGAAGCUUCCUUAUUCACAGCCUAAAACACAAACUUACCAACCAGUGCAAUGUUACAUUCUGGUUUCCUAAUUUUUUCAGGUAUUAUUAUACAAUAUUCUAUCUUUCAUAAAGCCUUAAGAUUGGUUUGAUUAGGGUUUCCAAGGGGUUUAAGACGCUCAGCCGUGAUUGAAUUGGCCUUGGUUCAAGUCCAGCCUCGCCAUCCCAGAUCACCAAUGUCAAAUAAAGACUGAAGUUCUCCCACAAACAUUUAAGAUAAAGCGAGAGUUUCUCAAAUCUUUGGCCGUAUAGUUUGCUUUUAAUCUUUUU